RNAcentral lists this long non-coding RNA (407 nucleotides) under Mytilus galloprovincialis (Mediterranean mussel). The record is from RNAcentral. Lineage: Eukaryota; Metazoa; Mollusca; Bivalvia; Mytilida; Mytilidae.
CUUAUUAGAGAAAAAUAGUCUACAGAGAUUAAACACAAUAUCAUAAAUUGAGAUUCAUAAUAUGUGUUUAUGAAACAACUUGCAAUAAUCAUUCUAUCACAUGUGUACCGAUGACUAACCAUAUAGAACAAAAAUACAUAGUAUUCACAUUUGUUAACAUAUCUAUUUGGUGCAGUUUUUCUCUGCUUUGCACCACUUAUCGCUGAAGUAAAAUGUAUGACAUUUCUAUAAUAUCUUAAACAAACAUCCUAAACCCUGUAAUAACUAGAGCUAUGAUGAGAAACAGCAGUAAUACUGUUCUAUUCUAAAAUUCAAUAGUACAUGUUUGACUGAAACAUUCGUGAAAAGAUGCCACAUGUAUCAUUUUUGUCUAUUCUAUGAUUUAUCGAGUGACAACUAUCAUCUAC